RNAcentral lists this long non-coding RNA (202 nucleotides) under Musa acuminata (dwarf banana). Its description in RNAcentral is "long non-coding RNA (MACU_LNC011438)". The record is from RNAcentral. Lineage: Eukaryota; Viridiplantae; Streptophyta; Magnoliopsida; Zingiberales; Musaceae.
GCAACUUGGAGGGAGGAACCCCUAUAGAGUUCCAAGGAGGCCGAUCCCCUAAAGAGAUCAACCCCAAGUUUAGAAUCUGCAAGGGUUCUAACACCUGGUAUCAGAGCAGCGUUCUUGGCAUCUCGCUGCCCUUCCACAGCCAUCCAUCAACCCUCCACAACCGCUCAAAGCAAUUCCCACAAUUGCUUAAAAGGUCGUCACC